Molecule: non-coding RNA, 70 nt
Organism: Phrynosoma platyrhinos (Desert horned lizard)
Lineage: Eukaryota; Metazoa; Chordata; Lepidosauria; Squamata; Phrynosomatidae
Source: the annotation of a GenBank genome assembly
GGUUGAGUGGACUGAGUGGUUGAGUGGACUGAGACUCUGGGAGAUAAGGGUUCAAGUCCCUUUUUAGCCA